RNAcentral lists this ribosomal RNA (252 nucleotides) under uncultured bacterium. RNAcentral describes it as "partial 16S ribosomal RNA". It matches the Rfam family "Bacterial small subunit ribosomal RNA", at positions 524 to 776 of the family's 1533-position model. The record is from RNAcentral.
UACGUAGGGGGCUAGCGUUAUCCGGAAUUACUGGGCGUAAAGGGUGCGUAGGUGGUUUCUUAAGUCAGAGGUGAAAGGCUACGGCUCAACCGUAGUAAGCCUUUGAAACUGGGGAACUUGAGUGCAGGAGAGGAGAGUGGAAUUCCUAGCGUAGCGGUGAAAUGCGUAGAUAUUAGGAGGAACACCAGUUGCGAAGGCGGCUCUCUGGACUGUAACUGACACUGAGGCACGAAAGCGUGGGGAGCAAACAGG